Molecule: ribosomal RNA, 251 nt
Filed under: uncultured prokaryote
Description: partial 16S ribosomal RNA
Rfam family: Bacterial small subunit ribosomal RNA
Source: RNAcentral
ACGUAGGGUGCGAGCGUUAAUCGGAAUUACUGGGCGUAAAGCGUGCGCAGGCGGUUCGCUAAGUCAGGUGUGAAAUCCCCGGGCUUAACCUGGGAAUGGCGCCUGAGGCUGUUGGGUUGGAGUACGGGAGAGGGGGGUGGAAUUCCACGUGUAGCAGUGAAAUGCGUAGAGAUGUGGAGGAACACCGAUGGCGAAGGCAGCCCCCUGGGCCGAGACUGACGCUCAUGCGCGAAAGUGUGGGGAGCGAACAG